RNAcentral lists this ribosomal RNA (460 nucleotides) under uncultured bacterium. Its description in RNAcentral is "partial 16S ribosomal RNA". It matches the Rfam family "Bacterial small subunit ribosomal RNA", at positions 338 to 795 of the family's 1533-position model. The record is from RNAcentral.
CCUACGGGAGGCAGCAGUGAGGAAUCUUGGUCAAUGGCCGGAAGGCUGAACCAGCCAUGCCGCGUGAAGGUCAGUGCCCUAUGGGCGUUAAACUUCUUUUGUGCGGGAGCAAUAAUGGUCACGUGUGGCCAGACGAGAGUACCGUACGAAUAAGCAUCGGCUAACUCCGUGCCAGCAGCGGCGGUAAUACGGGGGAUGCAAGCGUUAUCCGGAUUUAUUGGGUUUAAAGGGUGCGUAGGCUGUGAGGGAAGUCAGCGGUGAAAUGCCCCGGCUCAACGGGGUGAAGUGCCAUUGAUACUGCGUGGCUGGAAUGCGGAUGCCGUGGGAGGAAUGUGUGGUGUAGCGGUGAAAUGCAUAGAUAUCACACAGAACACCGAUUGCGAAGGCAGGUCACGAAUCCUCGAUUGACGCUGAUGCACGAAAGCGUGGGUAUCAAACAGGAUUAGAUACCCUAGUAGUC